RNAcentral lists this ribosomal RNA (253 nucleotides) under uncultured bacterium. RNAcentral describes it as "partial 16S ribosomal RNA". It matches the Rfam family "Bacterial small subunit ribosomal RNA", at positions 524 to 776 of the family's 1533-position model. The record is from RNAcentral.
UACAGAGGUCCCAAGCGUUGUUCGGAUUCACUGGGCGUAAAGGGUGCGUAGGUGGUCGGGUAAGUCUGAUGUGAAAUCUCCGAGCUUAACUCGGAAACUGCAUCGGAUACUAUUCGGCUCGAGGGUUGGAGGGGGGACUGGAAUGCUUGGUGUAGCAGUGAAAUGCGUAGAUAUCGCUUGGAACGCCAAAGGUGAAGACAGGCGACUGGAGAUGUGCCGACGCUGAGACGCGAAAGCCAGGGGAGCGAACGGG